UACGUAGGGGGCGAGCGUUGUCCGGAAUCAUUGGGCGUAAAGAGCUCGUAGGCGGUUCAGCAAGUCGGCUGUGAAAUUCCGAGGCUCAACCUCGGAACUGCAGUCGAUACUGCUGUGACUCGAGUCCGGUAGAGGAGAAUGGAGUUCCCGGUGUAGCGGUGAAAUGCGCAGAUAUCGGGAGGAACACCAGUAGCGAAGGCGGUUCUCUGGGCCGGUACUGACGCUGAGGAGCGAAAGCGUGGGGAGCAAACAGG
RNAcentral lists this ribosomal RNA (254 nucleotides) under uncultured bacterium. RNAcentral's name for it is "partial 16S ribosomal RNA". It matches the Rfam family "Bacterial small subunit ribosomal RNA", at positions 524 to 776 of the family's 1533-position model. The record is from RNAcentral.